Ceratotherium simum simum (southern white rhinoceros) is the source of this 3630-nucleotide non-coding RNA. The record is from RefSeq and is a predicted model, not a curated record. Lineage: Eukaryota; Metazoa; Chordata; Mammalia; Perissodactyla; Rhinocerotidae.
GAUCAGCACUUGUUUCCCAUUCAGGUGAGUAGCCACCUGCAAGUCGGAUUAUUAAAUGACAUAGAACAUAUCCUAGAACUUCUUAGGUUUCCCUCCCAUUUAUGUCCUAUUUAUGACUGUUAAAAUGUAAUAAAUACUUGCUGUUUGAAGUUCAAAGUUUGCCUUUUCUACAUUAUCUUGUUAUAUUUUUAUAAUGAUCACGACCAACCACUAACAGUGGCCAAUGACAGAGACUGUACUCUAAAGCUCUGCAGUCGUUCUCCUCCAUGGCUGUGAGAUGAAGCCUGCACAGGCUGAGCGGAAGGGGACAACUGUACCCGCCGCACCAGCGUUCUAACAGCGGCUGGUGAACAGUGCUGCUGCUGCUCCUGGUUUAGGCAAGACGAGCCCAGGGCUUCCUUGUAGCACCUUUCAGACUGAUGAAAAUUAGGCAAGUACAUCUAUUCCCUUUGGGCAAGACAAGGUUUGCACAUAUGUAUCAUUCCACAUAUUCAGAAACAGAUCAAUCUACGAAAUGCUUUCUUCCUUUUAUAUUCACAUUUUCACACCAAAAUGUUGACUUUAUCUUUGAAAGUGGGGUAGAUACUUUAUAAAUAGAAAAGGAAAGACAAAACUAACUCAAGGUACAUAGUAAAUAAAACUAGAACCAAGGCAUCCUGAUAGCUCCGUUAGUGCUUUAACCCAGGAGAGUAGUUAUUUAAUACGAAGCUAUAAACCACCUAAUUAAUCUUUUUAAUGACUACUUUAUGCAAUAUCUUCUUUAUCGUUUUGAAGAAUGUAUAUAAAGAGAAUAAAAAUUAGAGCCAGAAUUAAUGGACUGUUAAUACUAACAGCCAAAGGAAAAGAAAAAUGUUUCCCUGCACGUCAUUUUAUUUUCCAGCAAUGCCUGACGCUUUUAAUACCUAACUAAACUAAAUUCAGAGCAGAGUGGUCAAUAAAAUCCUGUAGCUUACAGUGUGCAGCAUUCUCUUUCGAGCUAUCAAUUUCUUCUAGAUUAUGAAUAAAAUUUCCAUAACCUGGACUUUAUAUGGUUUUUCUUCCUUAUUUAGCAUUAUCUGUAGAAUGAAAAGGUUGGGCUAGAUGAUCUCUAAAUCCUUUUCCACUCUAAGACUUUAUAACUCUAUAGCUUUUAUUGUUGUUUCUUCCUAGUCUUUGCCUUGAAAAAUAAAUCAUAUUAAAAAGCACAAAAUAACUAAAUAUCAAGUUAACUUAGUUAUUACUUCAGUCCUAGGUCUUUGAAUUCCCUCAAAAACACCUCAACAUGAACACACCAUUAUAUCCUCAGUGAUUCAUAGGGAUAGUACCAUACAUCACUUCUUUCAUGUUUCUUGAACAGUACUAUUUCAAAAAGAAUCAGUUUUCUUCCAUUUAGGCCCCCAAAAGCAAAAUCAUUAUGGCUAAUUAACCGUAGUAGACAUAAGCAGUUAUUGAAAAAAUUACAAAUAGCUUUAUAGAAGAAAAUCUGAUUUUCAUCAUAUACAUAAUUGUUUCACCCAAAGAAAGCAAUAUAUGCAAAAUUAUAUUUAAUAAAAAUGAUAUAUGCCUUAGAAAGGGGAAGUUUUAAAUGCAUAAGUAAUGAAGACAAUAGUUAUUGCCCAAAGCACAAGAAUCUUUGUGGAACAUUUUGCAAACACCCACACUAACAGCACCAAAUUUACUCCUUAGGAAUUACAAAGUAGAAGAUUUAUAACACAAACUAAAAAUACAAUUUUACAAGAAUAUAUUAAAAGUCCUUAUGAAGCCUAUAAAACUGCAACUAUAAAGGCAGUUCUUGGCACUUUACCAUCCAUUCUUACACUACCCUUUUUUUUUUCCAGAUUACAGAACUGCUGCUCAAGGUGGCAUAGGAAGAGCUGUGGUAAGAGGGUAAAAUGCAGGAGCCACCCUUGGGAUGCCACCAGAAGGCUCUGCGACCAUCAACCCUUGUAACCUCAACUUUUAGAGCGAUUAUCUGUGAUCAUAUACACAACUUGAAGAUAGAACAUUAUAUUUUUCUACUACUUCCAACUCCAAAAGAUUUGGGCUUACAAGACAGAUUUUCAAAGAUUUUUCCUUUAUGGGCCACCAUCUCCAUUUUACCUAUCCUUUCUAUAAAAGCAAGACAAUGUUUUGUUUAGAAAGGUGAAUAUUAGUUUAUCCUACAAUCCAUGGAGAACUGGUACUUUCAGCCAGCAAAAAAAACCACAUACACAAAAACUUCUUAAAAAAGAGAUAAGGAUUUUUUUGUGUGUGUAAAAACGCUCAAUUACUUCCAAGAUUGCUUUUAACUCCAAACUUAUUUCCAGAAGUAAAUUUCAAACUAAAAGUAGAAAAUUUUCUUUCAAUCACAAGUUCACAGUGAUUUUAGUGCCAUCUACAGUUAGUUAAUCAUGAAAACAAGUUUAAAAAUUUUAAUCCUAAUUUACUGAUAUUAAAAUUUUAAUUUGGCACUUCUUGUCAAAAAUAGCAGUCCAAUGUAAAAUUAAGCUAUGUAGGAAACAGCAAUAGCCUUAAUUUUGUUUGAUACUAAACAGAAAGACUUAAGCAAGUACUAAAUAACACCGAAACAAGAUACUCUAAAUUUUUUGAAGGGAGAAUCUCAUAUAUUGGAUUUGAAUUAAUGUAUAUAGGUGCACCAGUUUUAACUCUUUAACAUUUUAUAAAGAAGCUAGUCGGUAUUAACAAUGGGAAGAAGCUGCUGCUACCUGCUAAAUCAAAUUUUAAAUGUACUGACAUAAAAAAGCAAAUCUAAAAGAAACUUUAGAGCCCUCAGAUGAUAGCUUCUUGACCAAGGAAUCAUUAGUUUAUCAUGUUCACAGUUCAGAUAAGCUUAAAAAUGGAAAUGGGAAACCUCAAUCAAAGAGUAAACAGCUUCUAUAUUAAAGUACUAUAAAAGAAGUUUUUCAAAAUAUUUCCCACUACCUUUUUUUUGGCCCUUAAAGAAGGUUAAGAAUAGAAAAAUACUCUAGUAAAGAAGUGUAGUAACGAAUACUCUAUGAAAUCAAAAGAAGAUACAGGAACAACUGUAUUAGGCCUUCCUUUUUUCCUGCACAACUCCAAGCAUUAUCAUCUUCUAUCAGCUUUCCAUUUUUAGGACAUUCUUAGGAACAGAAUGUCCCUUAUCUGAACUUUAUCAGAUCAUGUUGGAAAUCUGUUUUUUCAGAAAAAUUUAAAAUGUGAGAUUUAGUUUAUAUGAAUAAUUUACUCAUUUAAAGACAGGGAAGCGCCAUUCAUACUCCUCCAUUCAGAAAGAUGACUUACUUUUUCUGGUAAACCAUGAAUAAAAUAUUCCUCCAAUAUACAUGGCACAACUGUAGAGAUUUACUUCCAAUCAAAAGCAUUAAAAUUCAUGCUAACCAAUUAUGUUUCAUAUUUUAUAUCAUAGGAUUUUGGUAAAAAUAGGUUUUGGAGUAACUUUAGAUAAGAAUACAACUAAAAGUAUGCCAAAGAUCUUUCAGAUGAGAAAUAAGUAAGGUUUUGGUUGUGCAAGCAUGUACAUGUAAAGGAGAUUUUUAAAAAGCAAAUUUAGCAUUCUGACGUUUCCUGAGUGAUAAUCUCAUAAAUUUCGGUAGAAAUGACAGCAAUAUUGGGUUAAUUCAAUUAUGCAUAGAGAUCUCACAAGGUUUGAGUUAUUUUCACAGUGCUGCUCAA